RNAcentral lists this long non-coding RNA (689 nucleotides) under Olea europaea subsp. europaea. Lineage: Eukaryota; Viridiplantae; Streptophyta; Magnoliopsida; Lamiales; Oleaceae. The record is from RNAcentral.
CUCCACUGUACUACAUCGCAACUGAUGAGCAUUCAAAUGUACUGCAAUGCUCCAUUGCCAAUUAAUUACAUAUCUACUCAUAUGACAAUGGGAACAAUACUGCAUAUUGGGAGUUCAACAGCGCCCAUUUUCUAUGCAAUAAUCACUUUAAGUAAGCAGUGAUUAUGUAAUGAGCAUAAAACUAAAUGUUGAAUGAAUAUCAUUAAGUUCAUAAGCAUAGAGGUUCUUAGGAAAUUAAGAACUCACAAAUGCGAAGCAGAAAUUCAAAAUCAGAACUCACCCAUUGAAUGGCUGAAGACGUGAGCUUUUUUCCAACCCAAGUGAUCCAUUAGAGUCACUGCAUUUUUCGCCAUAAUUCUUGUCGUGUCAAAGCAAAACAAAAUUCUUAAUCUUUCGGUAACUUGAAAAUGAAGGUUUUCAAUUUAAUAAUUACUCUUCUUUAAGGUUUAUGAACUGUCAAAAAAUAAUGAAUGUUGAUGAAUUUCAAAAUAAUAAUAAUAAUAAUAAUGAGGAGUUAAAAACUUUGGGCUUUGUUAUAUUUGGCGAGUAGGCCGAAUCAUCAUAUUUAUGUGAACUUGUUUGGCAUCCUGGAAGUUGACUAUUGUAUUAUACUUAGCCUUAUAAUUUCAUGUAUCUGAAAGUGUAAAUCAUAUUUUUAAUCAUUACCCCUGUUUGGCCCCCAUUACAAG